Molecule: ribosomal RNA, 375 nt
Filed under: uncultured bacterium
Lineage: Bacteria
Description: bacterial SSU rRNA
Rfam family: Bacterial small subunit ribosomal RNA
Source: RNAcentral
UAAUACAGAGGGUGCGAGCGUUAAUCGGAAUUACUGGGCGUAAAGGGCGCGUAGGCGGUUGGGAAAGUGUGAUGUGAAAGCCCCGGGCUUAACCUGGGAAGUGCAUCGCGGACUCCCUAACUGGAGUAUAUGAGAGGGUGGCGGAAUUUCCGGUGUAGCGGUGAAAUGCGUAGAGAUCGGAAGGAACGUCAAUGGCGAAGGCAGCCACCUGGCAUAAUACUGACGCUGAAGCGCGAAAGCGUGGGGAGCGAACAGGAUUAGAUACCCUGGUAGUCCACGCUGUAAACGAUGAGGACUAAAUGUUGGUAGGGGAACCUAUCAGUAUUGAAGCUAACGCGAUAAGUCUUCCGCCUGGGAAGUACGGCCGCAAGGUUG